GAUGAACGCUAGCGGCAGGCUUAACACAUGCAAGUCGAGGGGUAUAGUUCUUCGGAACUAGAGACCGGCGCACGGGUGCGUAACGCGUAUGCAAUCUACCUUUUGCAGAGGGAUAGCCCCAGAGAAAUUUGGAUUAAUACCUCAUAGUAUAGCAGUUUCGCAUGAAACCACUAUUAAAGUCACAACGGCAAAAGAUGAGCAUGCGUCCCAUUAGCUAGUUGGUAAGGUAACGGCUUACCAAGGCUACGAUGGGUAGGGGUCCUGAGAGGGAGAUCCCCCACACUGGUACUGAGACACGGACCAGACUCCUACGGGAGGCAGCAGUGAGGAAUAUUGGACAAUGGGCGCAAGCCUGAUCCAGCCAUGCCGCGUGCAGGAUGACGGUCCUAUGGAUUGUAAACUGCUUUUGUACAGGAAGAAACACUCCCUCGUGAGGGAGCUUGACGGUACUGUAAGAAUAAGGAUCCCGGNUAACUCCGUGCCAG
Molecule: ribosomal RNA, 485 nt
Filed under: uncultured bacterium
Lineage: Bacteria
Description: bacterial SSU rRNA
Rfam family: Bacterial small subunit ribosomal RNA
Source: RNAcentral